RNAcentral lists this ribosomal RNA (443 nucleotides) under uncultured bacterium. RNAcentral describes it as "partial 16S ribosomal RNA". It matches the Rfam family "Bacterial small subunit ribosomal RNA", at positions 338 to 795 of the family's 1533-position model. The record is from RNAcentral.
CCUACGGGAGGCGGCAGUGGGGAAUAUUGCACAAUGGGCGAAAGCCUGAUGCAGCAACGCCGCGUGAAGGAAGAAGGGUUUCGGCUCGUAAACUUCUAUCAACCGGGACGAAAGAAAUUACGGUACCUGAAUAAGCAGCCCCGGCUAACUACGUGCCAGCAGCCGCGGUAAUACGUAGGGGGCAAGCGUUAUCCGGCAUUACUGGGUGUAAAGGGUGAGUAGGCGGCAUGGUACGCCAGAUGUGAAAGCCUUGGGCUUAACCCGAGGAGUGCAUUUGGAACUAUCAAGCUAGAGUACAGGAGAGGAAAGCGGAAUUCCUAGGGGAGCGGUGAAAUGCGUAGAUAUUAGGAAGAACACCAGGGGCGAAGACGGCUUUCUGGACGGAAACUGACGCUGAGGCACGAAAGCGUGGGGAGCGAACAGGAUUAGAUACCCUGGUAGUC